RNAcentral lists this unclassified non-coding RNA (430 nucleotides) under Uvedalia linearis. Its description in RNAcentral is "partial external transcribed spacer". The record is from RNAcentral. Lineage: Eukaryota; Viridiplantae; Streptophyta; Magnoliopsida; Lamiales; Phrymaceae.
CUUGGUGUGNAUGGACAUGUGGGAUCCCUGCCUUUGGCAGCGAACGCAUGUUAUAAACACCUCUUCAAUUGUUGCCGCAAGAGUGGGUUUUCACGUGGGCUUUGUGGGUUUCUUGUGUUGUAUACCUCUACGAAGGUAUUUGGUGGUCUCAAAUGUUCUAGUUCCUCGUUGCACCACAUCCUUUACGGUUGAGGUGUGAGGUGGACCCUGAAGAUCCGUUGUGUUCCACAUCCCAUGUGCAUUGCAUGUGCUCAGGGUUGUUGGCACAUGAUGCGUUUGCUUGAUCUCUCGGAUAUAGAAAAUUGAUCGGAUAUGAGGCAUGUCGCUUCUAGUUGCCCCAAAAANUAGCGUUCUACGCUCUUUGCAAACGACGAUCGUUCUCGUUUUGAUUGAGUCCUUGUGGCUUGACUCAUGCGUUAACGAUGUCGAU